Molecule: ribosomal RNA, 429 nt
Filed under: Chloroflexota bacterium
Lineage: Bacteria; Bacillati; Chloroflexota
Description: Chloroflexi bacterium partial 16S ribosomal RNA
Rfam family: Bacterial small subunit ribosomal RNA
Source: RNAcentral
UGGGGAAUAUUGCACAAUGGGCGCAAGCCUGAUGCAGCCAUGCCGCGUGUGUGAAGAAGGCCUUCGGGUUGUAAAGCACUUUCAGCGGGGAGGAAGGCGUUGAGGUUAAUAACCUCACCGAUUGACGUUACCCGCAGAAGAAGCACCGGCUAACUCCGUGCCAGCAGCCGCGGUAAUACGGAGGGUGCAAGCGUUAAUCGGAAUUACUGGGCGUAAAGCGCACGCAGGCGGUCUGUCAAGUCGGAUGUGAAAUCCCCGGGCUCAACCUGGGAACUGCAUUCGAAACUGGCAGGCUAGAGUCUUGUAGAGGGGGGUAGAAUUCCAGGUGUAGCGGUGAAAUGCGUAGAGAUCUGGAGGAAUACCGGUGGCGAAGGCGGCCCCCUGGACAAAGACUGACGCUCAGGUGCGAAAGCGUGGGGAGCAAACAGG